This 344-nucleotide unclassified non-coding RNA is filed under the name soil metagenome. Its description in RNAcentral is "partial contains 5.8S ribosomal RNA, internal transcribed spacer 2, and large subunit ribosomal RNA". The stretch from base 1 to 120 matches the Rfam family "5.8S ribosomal RNA", at positions 35 to 154 of the family's 154-position model. The record is from RNAcentral.
GAUGAAGAACGUAGCAAAAUGCGAUAAGUAAUGUGAAUUGCAGAAUUCAGUGAAUCAUCGAAUCUUUGAACGCACAUUGCGCCCGCCAGUAUUCUGGCGGGCAUGCCUGUUCGAGCGUCAUUUCAACCCUCAGGGCCCUUUUGGACCUGGCGUUGGGGCUCGGCCGCUACCCUGCGGCCGUCCCCGAAAGAUAGUGGCGGUCUCGCUGUAGCCUCCUCUGCGUAGUAGUUACAUCUCGCACUGGAACGCGGCGCGGCCAUGCCGUUAAACACCCCACUUCUCAAGGUUGACCUCGGAUCAGGUAGGAAUACCCGCUGAACUUAAGCAUAUCAAUAAGCGGAGGA